This 73-nucleotide transfer RNA is filed under the name Salvia splendens (bonfire salvia). RNAcentral describes it as "tRNA-Pro". The record is from RNAcentral. Lineage: Eukaryota; Viridiplantae; Streptophyta; Magnoliopsida; Lamiales; Lamiaceae.
GUGGCUAUGUAGUUUAAUGGUAAGAAUGCCUUGUUGGGUCUGUGCAGACUUGGGUUCGAAUCCCAGCGCCACA